RNAcentral lists this long non-coding RNA (5215 nucleotides) under Canis lupus familiaris (dog). RNAcentral describes it as "lncRNA (ENSCAFG00845013521.1)". Lineage: Eukaryota; Metazoa; Chordata; Mammalia; Carnivora; Canidae. The record is from RNAcentral.
UUCAUUCAUUCAUUCAUUCAUUCAUUCAUUCGAGACACAGAGAGGCAGAGACCUAGGCAGAGGGAGAAGCAGGCUCCACAUAGGAAGCCUGAUGCAGGACUCAAUCCCAGGACCCCAGGGUCAUGCCCUGAGCUGAUGGCAGAUGUUCAACCACUGAGCCACCCAUGUGCCCCAAGAUUAAAUACUUUUUAAAACUUCUGUUUAUCCUCCCUUCCUUUGAGGAACUGCUCCCAGCUCAGACACCACAUGAUGCUGGGGCCUGCCGGUCCUGUAGGCCGGGGACAGUCACUCUCUCUCCCCAGGGAUCACAUUUCAUAGGGUUGAAAACCCUUCAGGGGUCUCUAUGUUCUGCAGGAAGAAGCUUGUACUCCUCAAUUCAACAUUCAAAGCCCUCUACAACCUGGUCCCAGUCUAUCUUCCCAGUCUUAUAUCCUGGAACCACCAUAUCUCAAAUUGUCAGCUUCUACCUGAAGACCUCUCUUCCCCUAAGUGGGUCUCCUCCCGAGUGUCUCAUACUCCCCUGGAAAACUGAUGAGAGGUCAUUGGAAUCAAAUCACUAAUGGCACAACCCUAAAGUAAAGAUCUUCAGGUUCCUUCCAAGUGUUGCCUUUCCUGAGGUUUCGUUUGUAGCUCUUUCUUCCAUUAGCUACUUAGUACGCUGCCCCAAAACCUGUCCUUCAUGUCAGAGGAAGUAUGUUUGGUAUUUGCUGCCAACAGACUUUAUUAAAGACUUGGAUGUGUCUUCAUGACCACAGCUUGCACCUUGGGGUGCCACGGUGGAAGAGUCACGCUGUGGCCCUGAGUUCCUGACAGGACUUGCCACUGCUUGUGGUACUAGAGCAUCCUGGGAUGGCAGGGUCAUGUAGGAACCAGCACUAGCCUAAGAGAUCAGAGUUGUGGUACUACCAUGGCCAUCUUUGCUGUUUCUUCCCCUUUCUUUCUGUAACCACCACAACCUAAUAUCUGAGCUGCUUUUACAGUUUCCAGGCUUUCUGUUUCCCUUGCCUUCCUCCCACUCCCCAUAUCUCAUAUAUCCAUAAAGGUGGGAGUUUGCACCAUCCUCCAUUAAUCAUCACUUGCUGCAUAAUGCAAGACACUGUAUGUUCCUGUGGUAAAAAUGACAGCAGGGAUCACACAGUACAUGUGUUACUACUGGCUUGAUGGCUGCAGCUUGUCACUUUUCUUCCAUGAACCCAAGGAAAGCAAUUUAGAAUCUCUGUUCCAUGCCAAUUCUGGAUAAUUUUCCAGAUAAUGGAUAAUAGCCAUUUCAUAGGGUUGAAAACCCUUCAGAGGUCUCUAUGUUCUGCAGGAAGAAGCUUGUACUCCUCAAUCUGGCAUUCAAAGCCCUCUACAACCUGGUCCCAGUCUAUCUUCCUAGUCUUAUAUCCUGGAACCACCAUAUCUCAAAUUGUUAGCUUCUACCUGAAGUCCUCUCCUCCCCUAACUGGAUCUCCUCCCCUGAGUGCAUCUCAUACAGCUCCUCAUUCAGAUCUUUGCUAAAGCCAAUAGACUGUUCUCUGUCAUCUGAAAUGCUCCAUCCCCUUCCCCCUUCUAAAAUCUUACCUGGCCUUCAAAGUCUAGCAAGCUUCUUCCUCCUCCAUAAAGACUUCAUGGGAAGCCAUAGAUACAAUCCAGCAUUCCCACUCUUUUUGUAUUCUGCAUAUUUAUUAUCUGUAUCACUCUUAAAACAUUUCUCAUGGUGCCAUCUUGAAUUCUCAACUUUGUAUACAUGCCCAACAAGACUAGAAGCUCCUGGAGGGCAGGAACUGGUCUGUGAUCUGUCUUUGUCUAUCUCACAGUGCUCAGGAUACUGCUGAACACAGAGCAGUCACCCAACAUUUAACCGUAGAACCAAUGCAUUGAUGACCUGUUUCUUAGCUCCUUCUGCAAGACAACAGGACUUUACUCCAGACAAACUGGUCCUCAAGUCUUUGGUCAGAAAUCAUAAAUGCCCUGCUGAGGACCAACAUGCACUCAGAGGAAACAGGGCUAGGACCAAGCUCUCCUGGUUGUGUUUUUAUUUCAUGAUUUCCUGCCCUGGCCGAGACCUGUUUUCCAUAUAACCCCAGGCAUGCAGAAGUCCCAGCUUUGUAUCUAAAAGCAAACACAAGCACUAUAAAUUAUUCUCCCAUUAUAAAUGCCACAGAAGACACAAUAUUAAAAAAGAGAACAUAAAACUCUGCUUUAAAUUUUUAAAGACCUACUCAAAUUGCAAUUCUAACAUAACAGUUCGAGUUGGUCAGGAUAGUUUGAAGACUUAAUCAUAAAAUACAUAGGUUGGUCUUUUUUUUUCUUUACCUUUCAAUCCAUGAUCCUUCAAACUUAACAUCUGCAUAUUAUUUUCAAGUACAGGUUAUACUGCAAACUUUUGUAUGCUAACAACCGUCAUUUAACAAUAAUGCUCUUCAACUACUAGAAAAGUAUUUUGCUCUCUAAAAAACAGUAGGUAUAUUCUGGUCAUUUUAACGUACCCUGUACAACUAUUUUCAAAUUCUUUUUAUCACCUAAUACAAAAAUAAACUCCAACUUGCUUUGUAUCACAUUGUCAUAAAUUUAAAAUUAUAGGGAUUGGGACUAAUGAGGUUUGCACAGUAUCCCAACAUGCUCAUGUUAUCUGAAUUGCAGUAAAAGCUGAAAGCUACUAACCUGAGUCAUCUUGUGAUUACAGGAAAAUUACUUCUUGUCUUUGUGAAGCAUAGCAAUUUCUACCCUCAGAGAGUGACAGUUUUUGCUCAUGACUUUCUUAGAGUGUAAUGUAAAUGAAAAACAGUAGAGUUAAAUCAAACAGCAGGGUCCUUCACAUGAUGAAGCACUUUGCAUGAGUCUCUGAAGGGAACACAGGCCCUAUUAGGAAAAACACAAACACUAGAUGUCAUUUUACAUAAUGCAAAUAUUGAACCAGCUACAGCCCAGGUUGACCUCUUGACCUAUGCAUAAAUUACCCAGGGAUGAAGGGAUUAGAAAGAGCUGUGAAUAUGUGGAGUAUGCCAGAACUGUAAGAGCUAUUUCUGAAUUAAUUCCUAAGCUUUCUAUAAAAUAUACAGUACUUUCUCCCAAAAUUACAUUGAAUGAUCUCAUCUCGUUCCUAGAAAAAUUACAAGCAUUGAGAGUCAACUCUGAAUCCCAUGGUUUAAGGAAACAAAUGUAUACUACUUAAGACAAUAUUACUAAACUGCAUUAAAGCAUUCCAGUACAAUUUAACUACUCAAUAUUUGUUCAUAAUAUCAGUUACUUCCAUACCACUUUGAGAAGUACUCCUACUUAUUCUUCAUUGAUCACAUUUAUUUUCUUUUUUCAUAAUACAUUGGGUCUGUCAUGAAACACAUCAGAAGACUCUUCGUUACUAGAAAAAAAAAAAAAAAAAAAGAUGGGCCUUGUAUGCCAAAAAGCACUUUGUAAUGUAGAAGUCUUGGGGUAUAAAAUGAAAUCUGGAGAGAUGCCUGGUGUGGUAGGAAAAGCCAAUUCUGUAAAACCUUAGGACCUGACUCCUUAUCUGUAAAUAAAGCAAAUAGACCUUAUAUCUAGAUCACAGUUCUCAACCAUGUUCCCUAGUCUUCAGAUUCUUUGUAUGUAAAUUUCACUGCCACAAACCGUACCUCUUAUAUAUAGUGAUUCUCAGGAUGGUGGGGUGGCUUGCAGGUAGCUUCCCCUAACCUCCCCUGCUCUCCAUCCCACACUAAUCUUGGUCCCUACCUAAGAAUCACUGAUCUGGGUGUGCUUUGGAAAUUUUAUUUUGGGUCUUCAGAAUAUGCCUAUACAUUUAAACCCCAGUUGUCCCUCAAUCAUAUCAGGUAUAUGAUCACUGGGACCCCCAAGAGUUGACCUUUUAGGAAGCACAUUUAAGAAGGGUCUUGAAAGAGCUAUUUGUCAUAGGAUCUCAUCUUCCCUCAUGCAAUUUUAGAGUGAGCCUUUAUUGUAAAGGAGAUGAUGCUUGUUCACUGAGCCCCCAUGUUGUCCCGAAAAUAAAUGCUUUCUCCUUGGAUCCAUGCUUGCAUACCCUGAGCUAGGCACUCAGUGGAGUGCCAACUGGGCUAUGUACCUUUCCUUCAGGAAUUAGUACCUAAAUGAAUGAACCUUCUCAGAUAUGCUCCUGAAGAUGAGUCAGUAAGAGUAGCCAAUGAAAGGAAUUGUAGACAGUGCAGAAGGCAUCUGUGAGCUACUUGGGUGGGAGCAGGGGUGAAGAAGCUUUUCUAUAUGCCCAAAUCAUAGCUUCAACACAUAUACAUAUAAUUGACUUUCUUUAUAUUUACUAAAUUAUGAUCCAAAUUGUCCCCUGUUGAAAAUAUAUGAAUCAUUUUAUUUUCUCCAAUUAGUUGCUGGGCAAAGACAAAAUAAGAGUAUAUCUUUUAAAAUGUUGAAUUCAGAUGAGUCCUUUUACAGUAUUAGCCUUAUAUCUCUGGAGUAGUUAGUAUUAAAAAACGUAUUCUCCUUUUCUCCUGAAUAUGGUAAAACAUCUCCUAGGGCAAAGAUUUGUAACUCAUACCUUCUGAAAUUGAGAUUAGCCAUAUGUGUAUUUCCUAAAGAGGGUCAGCACCUCAACUUAUGGGUUAGGGGCAAAGCCAGUUUUGAGAUAAAUAAAAAUUCUGUAAAAUUUGUUCUUUUACACAUUCAGUUAUACUCAACAAAUAUUAUUUAAGCCUCUUGCACAUGUAAGACACUAGAGGUAGAGAUAAAACAAUGUGCCCAAAAAUUAAUAUGGGAAACAAUACAAAGAAAUAGAAAAUUAAAAUAUGGCAGAAACUUUACUUUGGGGAUGGAUAUAUCCUGAGAGCUUCUAAACCCCCAAACUUAAGCUGUACCUUAUUUAAUCCUAAUAAUCUUAUGAUAUUUAUAAUUAACCCCAUUACAAAUUACUAAACAUCAUAGUCUUUUAGGUCACUUACAAGUUUUCAAAACCACAAAUGCCAAGGACCAAAUCCAGUGUAAUGAAUAUCCUGAUCCAGGUGUGCACAGGUGCUACAGGAGCACAUAGGGCAGGAAAUUCAUCUAGCCUGUAGCAGGGAGAUGCAGUGAAGGCUCUUAUGCAAGGCUUGCAUCCAACCUGGAAUUCAGAGGACAGAGGGUAGUCAGAUAAAGGGGGAGUGGGUGUUUCUAGGCAUAGGAAACAGCAUAUGCAAAAAAAAAAGAAACAAGACCUAUUAUAUUCUUUUUGAUGAACUUCAAGGAAACUAAUAACAGUAAUAGACACAUGUGCACACACGCACUCAUAAUUUAC